CACUCCUGCGGGAGGCAGCAGUGGGGAAUAUUGCACAAUGGGCGCAAGCCUGAUGCAGCCAUGCCGCGUGUAUGAAGAAGGCCUUCGGGUUGUAAAGUACUUUCAGCGGGGAGGAAGGUGUUGAGGUUAAUAACCUCAGCAAUUGACGUUACCCGCAGAAGAAGCACCGGCUAACUCCGUGCCAGCAGCCGCGGUAAUACGGAGGGUGCAAGCGUUAAUCGGAAUUACUGGGCGUAAAGCGCACGCAGGCGGUCUGUCAAGUCGGAUGUGAAAUCCCCGGGCUCAACCUGGGAACUGCAUUCGAAACUGGCAGGCUAGAGUCUUGUAGAGGGGGGUAGAAUUCCAGGUGUAGCGGUGAAAUGCGUAGAGAUCUGGAGGAAUACCGGUGGCGAAGGCGGCCCCCUGGACAAAGACUGACGCUCAGGUGCGAAAGCGUGGGGAGCAAACAGGAUUAGAUACCCCAGUAGUCCCAUGA
RNAcentral lists this ribosomal RNA (475 nucleotides) under uncultured organism. RNAcentral's name for it is "partial 16S ribosomal RNA". It matches the Rfam family "Bacterial small subunit ribosomal RNA", at positions 334 to 800 of the family's 1533-position model. The record is from RNAcentral.